RNAcentral lists this ribosomal RNA (253 nucleotides) under uncultured bacterium. RNAcentral describes it as "partial 16S ribosomal RNA". It matches the Rfam family "Bacterial small subunit ribosomal RNA", at positions 524 to 776 of the family's 1533-position model. The record is from RNAcentral.
GACGAACCACACGAACGUUAUUCGGAAUUACUGGGCUUAAAGGGUGCGUAGGCGGCGUGGUGAGUUGGGUGUGAAAUCCCUCGGCUCAACCGAGGAACUGCGCCCAAAACUACCAUGCUUGAGGAAGAUAGAGGUAAGCGGAACUUACGGUGGAGCGGUGAAAUGCGUUGAUAUCGUAAGGAACACCUGUGGCGAAAGCGGCUUACUGGGUCUUUUCUGACGCUGAUGCACGAAAGCCAGGGGAGCAAACGGG